This 279-nucleotide ribosomal RNA is filed under the name uncultured bacterium. RNAcentral's name for it is "partial 16S ribosomal RNA". It matches the Rfam family "Bacterial small subunit ribosomal RNA", at positions 506 to 784 of the family's 1533-position model. The record is from RNAcentral.
UGCCAGCCGCCGCGGUAAUACGGAAGGUGCGAGCGUUAAUCGGAAUCACUGGGCGUAAAGCGCACGUAGGCGGUCGAGUUAGUCGGAUGUGAAAGCCCUGGGCUUAACCUGGGAACUGCAUUCGAUACUGCUUGACUCGAGUAUGGGAGAGGGUAGCGGAAUUCCGGGUGUAGCGGUGAAAUGCGUAGAUAUCCGGAGGAACAUCAGUGGCGAAGGCGGCUGCCUGGACCAAUACUGACGCUGAGGUGCGAAAGCGUGGGGAGCAAACAGGAUUAGAUA